Long non-coding RNA from Mustela lutreola (European mink), 643 nucleotides. RefSeq lists it as uncharacterized. Lineage: Eukaryota; Metazoa; Chordata; Mammalia; Carnivora; Mustelidae. The transcript is spliced from 3 exons. The record is from RefSeq and is a predicted model, not a curated record.
GUAUGUACCAAAAUUCUGGACUUCCAGAAGGAGAGCAGGUUAUUGUUGGGCUAGAAGAUUGUAGUGCUGGAGGAGCACUAUGUAACAACCUUCAUAAAUCAGCACUUAACAAUGAACAACCCACAUCCUACUUCCAGUGAGUUAACUAACAAUGCAUCAAAUUGCAUCAAACCAAUGAGGACUAGAAGGAACUGAUAAACUCUAGAGCAGAAGAACAAGAUGGGAUGGCUGUUUUGGUUUGAAAUGAGCAAGGACAUGAAGUUCAGAGUCUGCGUAUUACCAUGCCCAUGCACAUUCCCCAUGAGGUCAAGAGGCUGGGAUGACCUCUCUGGGGUCCUAACCUUAUUCAGACACACUCUACCACCGCCUGCCUGGGUAGCUUCAGCCAAAGCAGAUUCAUCCUUCUGGGCCAUGAACCUCCCGGUGGGAGGUGUUAAAUAGGGUCAAUGGCCUUCUGCCCUGCUGGCUCAGGAAGCCUUUCAGAGGGCUCUGAUAGAGUGUUGGAGCAGAAAGAUGCUAGAACAUGAACUUCAAUGAGAACUGAGGAUAUUUUCCCCCUUCCAGUUCAUUCUUUCUCUCUAAAGCCAUGCCUUGUCAGUGCCUUUUCCUCAUGUUACUGAGGUCAUAAACUUACUAAGCCUAC